RNAcentral lists this long non-coding RNA (1854 nucleotides) under Mytilus galloprovincialis (Mediterranean mussel). Lineage: Eukaryota; Metazoa; Mollusca; Bivalvia; Mytilida; Mytilidae. The record is from RNAcentral.
GUUAAACAUGUUCCCGGGAUCCCAACCAUCCCCCUAACCUGGAACAGUAGAAUAAUAGUACAACAUAACAAAUGAGCUUUUUUGAAAAUAUGUCAAAGCAGUUACCGAUAAUUGUUGCUGUAACAUUUUCUGUUUUGUCUAAUACUGUAUCUUUCAUGAUAAUAAAGACAACAUGGAAUUUGCCAGCUUGGCAUGUAAGUACAACAACUGUUUGAGAGAUGUCUGAUAGGUUUGGUUAAAAUAAAAAGAAAAUUGAAAUAGUUAAUACUUGUAACAUUAUUUGCUUUGUCGUUUGUUGACUGUUUUUGAAUGCUAUCAGUUUCUUUGGUUUAACAUCCAUACUUUGUUUCUAGUUGUAUCAAAAUUAUGACUUUUGCAAACUCAUUAAGUCUAAGCAAAUGUUAUUGUGAAAAGUGUUGCAAUUCGUAUUUUGUUUCAUGAACUUCAUGUUAAUUUCACAAAGUGCCAUCAAAUUAAAAGAACACUCAAACGAUAAGGCAACUACAUUGAUUUGUACGAUUUAUUGACAACAUUUGAAAUCAAUAUGAAAUACGGUCAAAUAUAACAUUUUCAAUUGUUUUUGUUGCAUGAGCCUCAUGUUAAUUUCACAGAGUGGCAUCAAAUUAUAAGAACACUCAAACGAUAAUAAGGCAACUACAUUAAACAAAGUAAUGUACUUAUUUCUCAAUUUACACCUCAAAGUAUCGCUAUUUAGCAGUAAUCAUUAUUCUGAAUGAAUAUUAUGCCUUAUCAUGUAAUCAUUAAUAUGAUAUUUGGGAAUAUGCAUGGAAUAUAUGAGGCAUACCUGUGCACAAAUUAUAAUAGACGUUUACUGUAUGCCUUUACAGGUUGACCUACAGUGGUGGAAUACUAUGUAAUUGUCAAGCAAAACUAAAUUUUUAGAUCGAAAGGUACGCAUGCAGUGUUGAUUAUAUAAAAGUAACAUAUAGCUCAUUGAUAGAAACAAUAUACGGUAGUUAUUUUCUGAAAUCAACUCAAACAUAUGCACAAGUGCAUAUUUGCCUAAAAUAUUGUAAGUGCAUGUAUACUUUGCAUUAAGACUUUUAUUGAUGAUCGUGUUAAUGUUGUUGUUCAAAUUAUACCAUGUCUAAGAGAACUAACAUCAGUACUUUUUAACAAUUUAUGUACAAUCUAAAUAAUAAUUGUGACGCUUAUCUAAUACUACGGAAAUGACAAUAACAUUGUAUAUCAUAUAUGUUUUACUUUUUAUAUAAGGUCUCACUGACUGAUUAUAACGCCGCAAAACGGGGUCUAUUAUAAAUCCAUUAAAUUAUCCGAAAGACAUUUCAAAGAAUUGAAAUUGACUUAAUCAAAUUGAGAACAAAAAACAUGUAUAAAUGUGAAAAGAAUAGCACGUUAACAUGUUUUUAAAUUCUAAUACAGGUUACAAUGAACAUAAGUGAAUUAAACAAACAUAAAGAGUGGGGAUGAUAUACCCACACACUUAAGUGGACAGUGAUUUUCAAUAUCACAAAUAUUUCGCCAAGAGAUCAUUCACUGGCUAGAAUAUCUGCUGAUAUACAGUACUGUCCGCGGGGAUUAAUUAUUGAUAACAAAUUCUUUCCUCGGGAAUUCAGCGAUAUACAAUUCCUUUCCGGAAGAUUAACGAGUCCGGUCAAGAAUAUGCAUUCCAAGUAUUUGAAAACCGAUAAAAUAGAUGGAAUGGAAUAAUGGAAUGUGGUCAAGGACACAACAACUCAGAACGAAAUUGGAAUGAACCGAGGCAUGCUAGGAUUGUUUUAAAAAAGUGUCAUGAACACAAACUUAUUGAGAAAUCGAAUUCAGUGUUAUACUCCAAUAAAUCAGACAUAUUUAUGUAAACUAUGCAAGUGC